UUUCCAAAUUAUUAAUUUUAAAGGCCCAGAACCUAAUGUCAGUACUCCACGUCCAAAUUCCAGGGGACUGGAGAUGGCUGCUCAGUGCUGUCGAUCUGCUCAGGUUUCUGCACCUCUGGGCAGCUCUUGAUGCCAUAUCCCUGUGAUGCCCAGCAGACCUGGGACUUGGGUAUCCUCUGUGGGGCAAGUGGACACACGGAGCUGCCUUCAAAAGGAGUCACCACAAGGCCUCAGCCUGGCUCUCCUCCACCUGUGUCUCCACAAAGGUCAUGCCUGAGAAGAUCCAUGAGGCCAGCUCUCCACGUGGAAACUGUGAAUAGGACCAUGGCUGGAAGUAGUGUCCUCCCAGCUCCCCAACGGCUGUGGGGCAGGGGACCAGUGUGCUUCUAGCAGCGGUGGGGUUGUCUCCUUCAGAGCUUGUUGGGAAGGCUCGUGCCCACAUUGUGAGGGCCUGCUGACGUCUGUGCUCCCAUCCACUCAGCGCUGGGGUAGCUGUUUAUCCACCACCCUUCAUCAAUGAGGUUUAAGGGCAUACCUCAGAAAGGCAGCACAUGGUGCUUUCUGUAGCACUGAGAGUGAAGGGGAGAAACUUAAAGCCAAUGGGAAGGAUUUGCAUUAGCUCUGCUGCCAAGAAGUCUUUCCUAAACUCUCUCCUUCAAUAAUAUCUGGGUCAAAAUAAUACUGACUCUACUAAAUCUUCAGUUUUCUUGCUUUUUGUGUAUCAACACUAGGACAAAGCAAUUACAGCCCCCAGAGACACACAUGAGUGAAGUGAGUGAGGCAGAGAUAUUAGUGUUGCUGUUGUCCUUUCCUGCCCUGUCGCCUGCCUUUGUUAAUCUGCAUGUGCAAAUUAAACUGAAAUUAAACUCUUAAUUUAUCAUCUUGUUGUGGUGACAGCAGGCAGGACCAGAACGCUUUACAAACACGUAGCACCACAUUAACAUCAGAAACAGAUUCUUCCCCCGAGAGAGGGGAAGAUUUCAAAGAAUGUGGAAAGAUACCACAGGGCUGUAAUCCCUCUUGCUGUACAGAAAACAACCGAUUGUUGUUGAAACCCUUGGAGGGGGGAGGUGAGGGAUCUGCACAACACAUGUAGGCUACAGCUUUUCCACCGUCGAGAGUGGAGAUGGGAAAUUUGAAAUAAACAACCUUGGGGGGUGGAAGGAAAAAAAAAA
Molecule: long non-coding RNA, 1175 nt
Organism: Anser brachyrhynchus (Pink-footed goose)
Lineage: Eukaryota; Metazoa; Chordata; Aves; Anseriformes; Anatidae
Source: Ensembl